RNAcentral lists this ribosomal RNA (740 nucleotides) under Trematoda environmental sample. Its description in RNAcentral is "SSU rRNA". It matches the Rfam family "Eukaryotic small subunit ribosomal RNA", at positions 125 to 757 of the family's 1831-position model. Lineage: Eukaryota; Metazoa; Platyhelminthes; Trematoda. The record is from RNAcentral.
UCGUACAUACUACAUGGAUAACUGUAGUAAUUCUAGAGCUAAUACAUGCCACUAUGCCCUGACCCGCGAGGGAACGGGUGGAUUUAUUAGAACAGAACCAACCGGGGGCGGCUUCGGUCGUCCCUGUUGCAUUCUGUGAUGACUCUGGAUAACUUCACUGAUCGCAGUCGGCCUUGUGUCGGCGACGGAUCUUUCAAAUGUCUGCCCUAUCAAUUUUCGAUGGUAGGUGACCUGCCUACCAUGGUGCUAACGGGUAACGGGGAAUCAGGGUUCGAUUCCGGAGAGGGAGCCUGAGAAACGGCUACCACUUCCAAGGAAGGCAGCAGGCACGCAAAUUACCCAAUCCCGGCACGGGGAGGUAGUGACGAAAAAUACGGAUACGGGACUCACUAGAGGCUCCGUAAUUCGAAUGAGUACAAUUUAAAUCCUUUAACGAGGAUCAACUGGAGGGCAAGUCUGGUGCCAGCAGCCGCGGUAACUCCAGCUCCAGAAGCGUAUAUUAAAGUUGUUGCAGUUAAAAAGCUCGUAGUUGGAUCUGGGUCGCAUGGCUACAUGCCGUCGCUCGUGGGUCUGGCCUGGUUACUGCCGGGUUGAGCUUGCGAGUCGGUCUCGUGGUUGUGCUUCCUUUCUGCUGUGUCUGUUUACAGGUGUCAGCGUGACUGGUGGGCUUGCCUGCUAGUCUGUUGGCAUGCUUCUUGGUGCCUUUAAUCGGGUGUCGGAGGCGGACAGCACGUUUACUU